CCAAUCUUUAGAGGUCGCGCGCAUGAUGAGUCGGCGGGUUUGGUGGUUGUUGCCACGAGCAAAUCCGUUAAAAGGCCUGCGCGCCGAAAGCGAAACUGCAACAACAGUUGAACUUGGGCCAAGUCGGAAAUACCACUUGGACUGUCGCGAAUGCGUUGUGCUAAUGAACUU
Molecule: non-coding RNA, 171 nt
Filed under: Lacticaseibacillus manihotivorans
Lineage: Bacteria; Bacillati; Bacillota; Bacilli; Lactobacillales; Lactobacillaceae
Also listed under: 1 other name
Description: Lactobacillus manihotivorans Lysine sequence
Rfam family: Lysine riboswitch aptamer
About the family: Riboswitches are metabolite binding domains within certain messenger RNAs that serve as precision sensors for their corresponding targets. Allosteric rearrangement of mRNA structure is mediated by ligand binding, and this results in modulation of gene expression.
Source: RNAcentral